CAUCUUCUUCACCUUCACCGUGAGUCUCCAUCUCCUCCAAGUCACCUGCAAACUGUAAGUAAAACAUAUUUCUUCUUCUUCUUCCUCUGUCUGGGUCGAAUUUCUUCUUCUCCUCCAUUCAAACCCUUGAUUCUAGGGUUUACAAUUUCUCAAUUGAUUUGGGGGUUUUGUUUCUGGGUUUGAGUUUUCAUUCAAGUGUAUUCUCAUUCAAUUGUUUUUGAGUUUUUGGUCAUAGGCACAUGUAUUCUCAUUCAAUUGUUUUUGAAUUUUGGCUCAUAUCCACAUGACCGAUUCUGGGUUUUAUAAUUUGGUGAUUCUGGGUUUGCUAAUUUCGAUUCUGGGUUUGCUAUUUUUUGUUUACUUCAGUAUCAGUGGCGCUUGCAUUACGAUCCACCCACAAAUCCUGCAGCUCCUGCUCGUAUUCCUGGUGCUUAGCUUCGGU
This 442-nucleotide long non-coding RNA is filed under the name Eutrema salsugineum. Its description in RNAcentral is "long non-coding RNA (ESAL_LNC000133)". The record is from RNAcentral. Lineage: Eukaryota; Viridiplantae; Streptophyta; Magnoliopsida; Brassicales; Brassicaceae.